GAGAAGUUAAGAAGACCUGCUAACUCUUCAAUCUGGCAAAACACCAGCCCUCUCUUCUAUCAAAAG
This 66-nucleotide transfer RNA is filed under the name Sistrurus catenatus (massasauga). Its description in RNAcentral is "tRNA-Ser". The record is from RNAcentral. Lineage: Eukaryota; Metazoa; Chordata; Lepidosauria; Squamata; Viperidae.